GAUGAACGCUGGCGGCGUGCCUAAUACAUGCAAGUCGAGCGAACGGACGAGAAGCUUGCUUCUCUGAUGUUAGCGGCGGACGGGUGAGUAACACGUGGAUAACCUACCUAUAAGACUGGGAUAACUUCGGGAAACCGGAGCUAAUACCGGAUAAUAUUUUGAACCGCAUGGUUCAAAAGUGAAAGACGGUCUUGCUGUCACUUAUAGAUGGAUCCGCGCUGCAUUAGCUAGUUGGUAAGGUAACGGCUUACCAAGGCAACGAUGCAUAGCCGACCUGAGAGGGUGAUCGGCCACACUGGAACUGAGACACGGACCAGACUCCUACGGGAGGCAGCAGUAGGGAAUCUUCCGCAAUGGGCGAAAGCAUGACGGAGCAACGCCGCGUGAGUGAUGAAGGUCUUCGGAUCGUAAAACUCUGUUAUUAGGGAAGAACAUAUGUGUAAGUAACUGUGCACAUCUUGACGGUACCUAAUCAGAAAGCCACGGCUAACUACGUG
Molecule: ribosomal RNA, 497 nt
Filed under: uncultured bacterium
Lineage: Bacteria
Description: partial 16S ribosomal RNA
Rfam family: Bacterial small subunit ribosomal RNA
Source: RNAcentral